CUUAAUUUCUACUUUUAGUGCACACUGCAGAAAAAUGCACACACUUUUGGGAUCCUUGAGGAAAAUUCUGAGCAGUGGACCACAUGAUGAGUGCCUCAUGUCAGCCUUCACACACAGUCCAGUCCUGAGAAGCGGAGGGGAGAGGGACAGCAGGCUUGGGUCUGUGGAAGCAGUGUUCUCUUGCAAGGCAGAGUCACCAUGUGUCCCAUCUUUACAGAUUGGCUGCAAUGCCGUCAGCUGGGCCCCUGCUGUUGUACCUGGAAGCCUCAUAGACCAGCCAUCGGGGCAGAAACCCAAUUACAUCAAGAGGUUUGCAUCAGGUGGUUGUGACAACCUCAUCAAGCUGUGGAAGGAGGAGGAGGACGGCCAGUGGAAGGAGGAGCAGAAGCUAGAAGCGCACAGUGACUGGGUUCGAGAUGUGGCCUGGGCCCCCUCCAUCGGCCUGCCUACCAGCACCAUCGCCAGCUGCUCCCAGGACGGUCGUGUGUUCAUUUGGACUUGUGAUGAUGUCUCAAGCAAUACGUGGUCCCCUAAAUUGUUGCACAAGUUCAAUGAUGUGGUGUGGCAUGUGAGCUGGUCCAUCACAGCCAACAUCCUGGCUGUCUCUGGUGGA
This 613-nucleotide small RNA is filed under the name Pongo abelii (Sumatran orangutan). RNAcentral describes it as "retained intron". The record is from RNAcentral. Lineage: Eukaryota; Metazoa; Chordata; Mammalia; Primates; Hominidae.